AACGAACGCUGGCGGCGCGCCUAAUACAUGCAAGUCGAGCGAGGAGGUGUAGCAAUACACUUGUAAAGCGGCGAACGGGUGAGGAAUGCAUGGGUAACCUACCCUCGAGUGGGGAAUAACUAGCCGAAAGGUUAGCUAAUACCGCAUACGUUUCCGGAACUUCGGUUUCGGAAAGAAAGCAAUACCGUGGGUAUUGCGCUCCUGGAUGGGCUCAUGUCCUAUCAGCUUGUUGGUGAGGUAACGGCUCACCAAGGCUUCGACGGGUAGCUGGUCUGAGAGGACGAUCAGCCACACUGGCACUGCGACACGGGCCAGACUCCUACGGGAGGCAGCAGUAAGGAAUAUUGCGCAAUGGACGAAAGUCUGACGCAGCGACGCCGCGUGGGGGGAUGAAGGUCUUCGGAUUGUAAACCCCUUUUGGGAGGGAAGAUGGAGUGGGUAACCACUUGGACGGUACCUCCAGAAGCAGCCACGGCUAACUUCGUGCCAGCAG
RNAcentral lists this ribosomal RNA (493 nucleotides) under uncultured bacterium. Its description in RNAcentral is "bacterial SSU rRNA". It matches the Rfam family "Bacterial small subunit ribosomal RNA", at positions 29 to 514 of the family's 1533-position model. The record is from RNAcentral.